Molecule: transfer RNA, 69 nt
Filed under: Rattus norvegicus (Norway rat)
Lineage: Eukaryota; Metazoa; Chordata; Mammalia; Rodentia; Muridae
Rfam family: tRNA
About the family: Transfer RNA (tRNA) molecules are approximately 80 nucleotides in length. Their secondary structure includes four short double-helical elements and three loops (D, anti-codon, and T loops).
Source: Rfam by way of RNAcentral
GGGGAUUUAGCUCAGUGGUAGAGCGCUGGCCUAGCAAGCGCAAGGCCCUGGGUUCAAUCCCCAGCUCUG